GCACCUACGCACAGUGUAUCUGCGUUCUGCAUGGAGACAAUGAACACUCCCCAUAGAGAUGCAUUGAUUUUAUAUAACUCUGUGAGGAGAUAGUGAUUGGUGCUUUGCUGUGCAUGUGCAAUAACCUCAUUGGAUUGACAUAGAUCAUCAAGAUUUACUAUCUCAGCCAUGGAGUCCACCUCCAGCCAUGGCGAGAUCGGCGUGGCGCUGGAAAAAAGGAGAGUUAACUAAC
Non-coding RNA from Pelobates cultripes (western spadefoot toad), 232 nucleotides. The record is from the annotation of a GenBank genome assembly. Lineage: Eukaryota; Metazoa; Chordata; Amphibia; Anura; Pelobatidae.